GGCGUUUUCACACCUAUAGUUGGUUCGCUUUGGUCCGAAUCAGUUGUUGAGUUUGUAAACUUCGAGCGAUUUCCCCUUGGUUCGGUUUCGUUUCACACCUGGAAAAAUCCAAGCGUACCAAAAUGCGUCAUUACAAAUCA
This is a long non-coding RNA of Sander lucioperca (pikeperch), 140 nucleotides long. RefSeq lists it as uncharacterized. Lineage: Eukaryota; Metazoa; Chordata; Actinopteri; Perciformes; Percidae. The record is from RefSeq and is a predicted model, not a curated record. The transcript has 3 exons.